Molecule: unclassified non-coding RNA, 391 nt
Filed under: soil metagenome
Description: partial contains 5.8S ribosomal RNA, internal transcribed spacer 2, and large subunit ribosomal RNA
Rfam family: 5.8S ribosomal RNA (bases 1-122)
Source: RNAcentral
GAUGAAGAACGUAGCGAAAUGCGAUACUUGGUGUGAAUUGCAGAAUCCCGUGAACCAUCGAGUCUUUGAACGCAAGUUGCGCCCGAAGCCAUUAGGCCGAGGGCACGCCUGCCUGGGCGUCACACGUCGUUGCCCCCCCAUCUACUCCUUCGGGAUUGCGGGGGGCGGAUGAUGGCCUCCCGUGCGCCUCGCCGCGCGGUUGGCAUAAAUGCCAAGUCCUCGGCGACGCACGCCACGACAAUCGGUGGUCGCGAAACCUCGGUUGCCCGUCGUGUGCGGUCGUCGCGCAUCGAGGGCUCGAAAAAAUUGCCGGGUUCCGGCUCGGCUUUCAACGCGACCCCAGGUCAGGCGGGGUUACCCGCUGAAUUUAAGCAUAUCAAUAAGCGGAGGA